UUUGAUCCUGGCUCAGGACGAACGCUGGCGGCGUGCCUAAUACAUGCAAGUCGAACGCGUCUCCGUUAAUGAUUUUAGGUGCUUGCACUUGAAAGAUUUAACAUUGAGACGAGUGGCGAACUGGUGAGUAACACGUGGGUAACCUGCCCUUGAAGUAGGGGAUAACACUUGGAAACAGGUGCUAAUACCGUAUAACAACCAAAACCACCUGGUUUUGGUUUAAAAGACGGCUUCGGCUGUCACUUUAGGAUGGACCCGCGGCGUAUUAGCUUGUUGGUAAGGUAACGGCCUACCAAGGCGAUGAUACGUAGCCGACCUGAGAGGGUAAUCGGCCACAUUGGGACUGAGACACGGCCCAAACUCCUACGGGAGGCAGCAGUAGGGAAUCUUCCACAAUGGACGAAAGUCUGAUGGAGCAACGCCGCGUGAGUGAUGAAGGGUUUCGGCUCGUAAAACUCUGUUGUUGGAGAAGAACAGGUGUCAGAGUAACUGUUGACAUCUUGACGGUAUCCAACCAGAAAGCCACGGCUAACUACGUGCCAGCAGCCGCGGUAAUACGUAGGUGGCAAGCGUUGUCCGGAUUUAUUGGGCGUAAAGCGA
This 600-nucleotide ribosomal RNA is filed under the name uncultured Lactobacillus sp. Its description in RNAcentral is "bacterial SSU rRNA". It matches the Rfam family "Bacterial small subunit ribosomal RNA", at positions 12 to 568 of the family's 1533-position model. Lineage: Bacteria; Bacillati; Bacillota; Bacilli; Lactobacillales; Lactobacillaceae. The record is from RNAcentral.